CUACGGGAGGCAGCAGUGGGGAAUAUUGCACAAUGGGCGCAAGCCUGAUGCAGCGACGCCGCGUGGGGGAUGACGGCCUUCGGGUUGUAAACCUCUUUCAGUACAGACGAAGCGCAAGUGACGGUAUGUACAGAAGAAGCACCGGCCAACUGCGUGCCAGCAGCCGCGGUAAUACGUAGGGUGCGAGCGUUGUCCGGAAUUACUGGGCGUAAAGAGCUCGUAGGUGGUUUGUCGCGUUGUUCGUGAAAACCUGAGGCUUAACCUUGGGCGUGCGGGCGAUACGGGCAGACUGGAGUACUGCAGGGGAGACUGGAAUUCCUGGUGUAGCGGUGGAAUGCGCAGAUAUCAGGAGGAACACCGGUGGCGAAGGCGGGUCUCUGGGCAGUAACUGACGCUGAGGAGCGAAAGCGUGGGGAGCGAACAGGAUUAGAAACCCUGGUAGUCC
Molecule: ribosomal RNA, 445 nt
Filed under: uncultured bacterium
Lineage: Bacteria
Description: bacterial SSU rRNA
Rfam family: Bacterial small subunit ribosomal RNA
Source: RNAcentral